Pocillopora verrucosa is the source of this 422-nucleotide long non-coding RNA. RefSeq lists it as uncharacterized. The record is from RefSeq and is a predicted model, not a curated record. Lineage: Eukaryota; Metazoa; Cnidaria; Anthozoa; Scleractinia; Pocilloporidae.
GUAUUUGGUAUACUAAUAACACAGCUGGUACAGAGCUAUAAUCAUUGCAACAGUUUAAGAUCACACAAACAUCGCAACUGCCAGAGAUUCGCUUUAAAUAACCUUGUAAACAUUCUAUGUGGUUAAAGUAUGCCAUCGUAUUACAAGAGGAAGUUAUCGAGAGGCUUGAAGGCUCUACAUGUUGACAAACACGGUUGUGGAAGUAGGAACUGAGCCUAGGCGUAGAGUUUCAGCCGUCAUUGCGGAUCAGAAUUUGAAAGGUGACCGUUCAAUACAAGUGGAAAACAAUACAAAGAAGCCACUGGGACUCAGUCAAGGGUGACCACGACCGCUUAAUAAAGGUGGCGCACAAAGAAGUAAAAAUUAAAAUACUUGAGGGAAAAAAGUUUCGGUACUUUGACAAGCGACCGCUUAUUAAUAGG